Long non-coding RNA from Amphiprion ocellaris (clown anemonefish), 1243 nucleotides. RefSeq lists it as uncharacterized. The transcript has 2 exons. The record is from RefSeq and is a predicted model, not a curated record. Lineage: Eukaryota; Metazoa; Chordata; Actinopteri; Pomacentridae.
CGGUCGCAGUAACUCCACACUCUGGGGAUCCAGUUGGACGACACAGGCUGUGCCACAGGCUCUGUGGGCCGCCUGAGAAAGGAAAUUAAUUCCUCUUUGAGAGAAAAUUACUUUAACAGAUAGCAUGGCGGAGGCAGGCUGUAACUUUGCCGCCGUUGCUCGCCCCCCCAGUCCCUCCAAAGCCUCCGAAGGCAGCAGAGGCAGCGCAGCAGAAGAAAAGGCACCUUAGUUGCAGCAGAUGCAGUGAGUCUUCACAGUGAUCCAUCUUUCUUAAUGCCGAAUCUCCCUGUGACCUGAGGACCUAAAGGUGCUGCAGCCUUCAUGGCUCCGAGGUCACAGGAGGUGCAGUGUGCAGCAGGAGAACAGUGACCUCCACUGGUAGGUCACGAUAUUAGUCUGUGAUUGGAGGAAUGGGGAUGUAUAUACAAGCCUGCAAGUGCCCGAGGUGUCGUGUGAGUUCCUGUUUUAAAAAAGUGGAUGGAAGUCUCAUUUAUCAGUGCUGUAUGUGGAGGCAAAAACCUGCUUAUUUCUUAAAUUGAGUUAAUGACACACGAUGCUUAUGAACCAAACAAAUGAAAACCAGUAGUAAUAGAAAGACACAGUAUUACAAUUUUUCUCUGCUUUAAGAUGAACAUGCCUUCACUUCCUUCAUUUAGCUUUGAAUUUUUCACAAUGAAGUGACUGUAGAGAAUAUUAUGUACCCAAAGGUUUGAGAAAAGAUGCCAAUACAUAGAAGAUGAGGUUUUUAGCAGGCCAAUGUUCUCUACAACCACAGAUAGAUUUAACAUCCAAUGGUCCAAAAUAAUUUCAUCACACCCCAUAGAGUUUAAAUGAGCGAACAAAAUAAAAGGCAAAAUAAGCAUGCUUCGAGUUUCUUUGAAAUGUGAAUGUGCAAAUAAAUUUAGAUUUGGUGUUAUUUUUGUGUUUUUCAGUCCAUUGUUCUUUUUUUUGUCAUGUUUGGCUCUGAUGUUAUUUUAUUAGGAUGGCUAUUGUGACAAUUUUGUUUGAUCUAUGUAAUGUAAGUCCAUCUUUCAUGUACUGUUUAUAACCUGUAACAAAUGCCUUUAACUGAUUUUCUGUGGGAAAAAAAUGCAAAGGAUAUGCCUUGCCUCAGUAUAUCUUCUGCUCCCCUACAGCACCUAUAGUGUGCAACUGUGGCCAAAAAAAGCUCAAAAAUGGAGUCUACUUACGUCAACAAGCAACUGACUCCUACCAUAAUACAGACUCCAACACAAACCCUCAA